UACAGAGGGGGCAAGCGUUAUUCGGAAUUAUUGGGCGUAAAGGGCGCGUAGGCGGCCUGGCAAGUGGAAGGUGAAAUCCCUCGGCUUAACCGAGGAACUGCCCUCCAAACUGCUUGGCUUGAGUCCGGGAGAGGUGAGUGGAAUUCCCAGUGUAGCGGUGAAAUGCGUAGAUAUUGGGAGGAACACCAGUGGCGAAGGCGGCUCACUGGACCGGAACUGACGCUGAGGCGCGAAAGCACGGGGAGCAAACAGG
Molecule: ribosomal RNA, 253 nt
Filed under: uncultured bacterium
Lineage: Bacteria
Description: partial 16S ribosomal RNA
Rfam family: Bacterial small subunit ribosomal RNA
Source: RNAcentral